CUCAGAUCGGGCGAGAU
This 17-nucleotide ribosomal RNA is filed under the name Biomphalaria glabrata. RNAcentral's name for it is "partial 28S ribosomal RNA". Lineage: Eukaryota; Metazoa; Mollusca; Gastropoda; Planorbidae. The record is from RNAcentral.